GACGAACGCUGGCGGCGUGCCUAAUACAUGCAAGUCGAACGCUUCUUUUUCCACCGGAGCUUGCUCCACCGGAAAAAGAGGAGUGGCGAACGGGUGAGUAACACGUGGGUAACCUGCCCAUCAGAAGGGGAUAACACUUGGAAACAGGUGCUAAUACCGUAUAACAAUCGAAACCGCAUGGUUUUGAUUUAAAAGGCGCUUUCGGGUGUCGCUGAUGGAUGGACCCGCGGUGCAUUAGCUAGUUGGUGAGGUAACGGCUCACCAAGGCCACGAUGCAGAGCCGACCUGAGAGGGUUGUCGGCCACAUUGGGACUGAGACACGGCCCAAACUCCUACGGGAGGCAGCAGUAGGGAAUCUUCGGCAAUGGACGAAAGUCUGACCGAGCAACGCCGCGUGAGUGAAGAAGGUUUUCGGAUCGUAAAACUCUGUUGUUAGAGAAGAACAAGGAUGAGAGUAACUGUUCAUCCCUUGACGGUAUCUAACCAGAAAGCCACGGCUAACUACGUGCCAGCCGCCGCCGUAA
This 524-nucleotide ribosomal RNA is filed under the name uncultured bacterium. RNAcentral's name for it is "partial 16S ribosomal RNA". It matches the Rfam family "Bacterial small subunit ribosomal RNA", at positions 28 to 523 of the family's 1533-position model. The record is from RNAcentral.